CUUUUAUCAAAAUAAAAAUAUGGACAAAACUAAACUUACAAAAACAAAACAAAAAAACAAAAUACAACAUAUCAUUACAAAUACCAUCUAGUAUCUUUAAAUUCCUUAUUUUCAAAGUCGAAGAUAAUUCAACCAUUGAUCUCCCUCUAGCCAUUGUUACACUUUAAAGAUCUCAAUAUCCCAAAGGUGCUAAAAUAGCUCUGAAGAACGUUGAGAUCUGGAGAAUGAUCCUAAUCAGACGCGAUGAGGUGGGAUCUAGUGACUCCAGCAACCAAACCAAAUAGGAAAAGAAUAGAAAAAGACAAAAAGGAAAUAGAAAUAGGGAAGGAAAAACGAAUGGCUGUCAAAAUAGUGUUGCAUCUAUGCACCACCCUAGACCGCUACAAAGUCCAUUCGUUGCAGAAACUUUCAGUGCCUCUACUCAACAUUGACCCUUCUCAAAAACAUGUCCAACAAUGAAGGAUGGAGGAGACAAGCCACAAGGCUCAGUCAAGCUCCUUAUGAGUGGGAACGUCGCAUGAUCUCACUAGGCUUCCAAACGCUCUCACCAUCGAAGUCACCUUUAGAGUCACUUCCAUAUUGUUCCUUAAAGAAGGAAGGUUAUUAUGCUAGUGAGAAGGGAAGGAAAAUAUUGAAGAGACGAGAAGGGUAAAAAGAAAUAGGGAGAGGUAGCCAAUCACCGAC
This 684-nucleotide long non-coding RNA is filed under the name Gossypium barbadense (sea-island cotton). Its description in RNAcentral is "long non-coding RNA (GBAR_LNC010733)". Lineage: Eukaryota; Viridiplantae; Streptophyta; Magnoliopsida; Malvales; Malvaceae. The record is from RNAcentral.